Molecule: long non-coding RNA, 1118 nt
Organism: Melospiza melodia melodia
Lineage: Eukaryota; Metazoa; Chordata; Aves; Passeriformes; Passerellidae
Exons: 7
Source: RefSeq, a predicted model, not a curated record
GAGGCGCUUUGGAGGCGUUGAUGGCAUCGCUGGGUUCGGUUUGCAGCGGGUGUCCGCUAAGGGAUACGGUGUUCUUCCUGAGCGGGCACGGUUCUCGGUGCCGGGUACUGAGAAAAUACGUCUCCCUUAGAGUCCCACGGAAAGGUUCUCAGUGCGCUCUCUAUCAAGUGCUAUGAGUCUUGAUAAAUUGGAGAAGAGCCCAAGAGAAAUUUUUCAUCCCUUGAUAUAAAAGGGAUCGGUGAAUUUUAACUUUGGAGUCCCCUAUGCUAAGGAUGCUCAGCUUACAGGUGAUGAAAUGUUCAGUAAUGUAUUUGCUGCAGCUCUGCUUACCCAAGCUUUGGGUUCCUUCUGUCCCACUGGGAGUUGCCCAAUUUGGUUGCAUCUGGUGAAAUUCACCCUGAGACCUUACAGAAGCAGCUCCAACUACGUGAGAGCCAUUUGCAGUUCUCUCCAGACGCCUGGAGAAUGGGCGACGUUUCUGAGGAUCCGGCGAGCGUGCUUCUGUCAAAACUCGGUCUGUGAAAUUCCUGGGGAAAACCCUUCUGUGUCCUGAAGGGUUCAAACUCUGGUGAGGAUCCAGUUAUCAGGUGCUCACCUGGAUGGUUCCAGCUCCCAAAGGGAAAGACUCUCGUAUCCUUGUCGUCGGGCUCGGUGCUGUCCAAGAAGAUACAGAGACUAAAAAAUCAUAAGAAGCAAAAUAUGACUGCAGGGAAAAGAAGCUGGAGGGAACAGAAGACUCAUCACGGCGGGACAGCGUGAAGACUGAAAGUGUAAGAAGAUGUGGAGGGAAAGAGAGAAUCUGACAGGAGCAUCGGACGCACGAGUGCAGGAAUUUUGCUUUUUUGCUUGGAUGUAAACUCAGGCGUUGAAAGGAAUUUGGGAGUGAGAAGGGACAUUUCAGAAGGAGAAGAAGCAAAAGAAGUUGUUGUUGUUACAGUCCUGGCAAAAUCUUUUGUUCUAGCUAAUAAAAGAAGUUAGUUUAAAAAACAAAAAGGAAAAAAUGUAGUGGUUUUUUUUUUUCCUUCACUAUGAUAUUCAUUGGUGGUAUAUGGUGUGUUGUUUCAUUUCUUGGUAGUAUUAAGUCUGUGUAAAUUGUUUUUUGAGUGAAGCUGACACUC